ACCCCCGCGUCCGCCGGAGCGCGGCCAGCAGCACAGAACGCGGGGGUCGCUCUCUUCGGCCGCCCUGCUCCUGCCGUGCCAGCGGCAGCUGCGCCAGGAGCGGGGAAAAUCCCCUUGGCUCGGGCAGCGAGGCCGGGAGCGAGCGGAUGGUGCUGCAGGGCAGCGUCUGACCCCAGGUCUCAGGGACUGCAUGGAGAUUCCUCUGGAGCAGGGUCACUCUGUGAGGAUGAGCCACAGAGGUUCAGUUCUUGGAGCAGGACAGGAAAAAUCGUUAAACUCCUCCCAUCUUUGCCAGAAGCUUCGGUGUUUAAGCAGCCAAAGCCAAGAGUCUUCAGCACCAGGGCUCUGUGUUACUAUUGGACAUGAAAUGAGUACACAGAAGCUUGGGCAACAGGUCUGCGCUGGAGGGCUCCUGGUCCUGCCCACGCUGUGGGCAGGAACAAGGGGGAAUGUGGUGCCAGAGCUGUGUUCUGUCGGGCUGCGCUUCCCUCUGAGGACAGAGUCUGGGCUGAGCGCACUCCACCCUGCCCGCGCCUUUCCGGCAAACCCCAGCGCGGCACGCCUGGUCCCCUUCGAGUUAUUGUAUUCCCCGUUGGAUUACAAUAAACGGAAUUCGCCCACAGAGAAAGACUCUCCUCGUAAUUCGCCGUGGGGUCGCUGGCUGCUCUCUGGAACUCCAAUAGCGCUUCCCAAAGCCCGCGAGGGUCCAGCGGGAAGCGCUAGAAACCUGCCCGCACCUCUCCCCUGAAGAGCUAGCCGGGGCUGAGGAAGGGCAUCGGGGAGAGAAGCGUCGGCAGUUGGUUGUUAUAAAUUAAAAUUUGUCCAGCCAAAUUAAUAUAAAAAAUAAAAUAUUUAUUUUGCAAUCAAAUUCUAUCUAGCCAGCCACAAGGAAAGAACAGAGCCGAGCCCGGGGUCGGCCCUGGGUGUGCAACAAGGAGUCAGCCUCAGCAGAGGUUUUCCUCCAUGCCCACACACUUCUGUCCUGGCACAAGCGGUUUUUAUAGGGAAAAUUCCGCCUGAGGCCAAGAUUUCAGCAAUCAGUCUUUUCUUCUAUUCAGAGUCUAUAUGUUAAUAAGAUUUUCCUUUUUGGUGAAGAGGGAGAGCAAAUCACUUUCCAGAGUUUGUUGAAUCCUUGAGAACGUGUAAACUCUCAGUUUACCCCACACAACCGCGCCCCUACACUACAAACCCUUCACCAUCGUACCCACACAGUUUCUCUCUCACUCACUCAGGGCAUACUCUUAAUUACAGCCACAAAAACAGAAGUUAUUUUAUUCUUUUUCUGCUUAAUAUCCGUGUCUUGUAUUUGUACAUCAAUCCCAGCUUCUCCCAAGGAGGCAGAUCAAAUCUUUCAGUGACUGUGGGAGUUUCUGGUUUUCCGAUUCCCACUUCUCCCCUCUUUCUGUAUUAAAACCAAUUUUUAUUAAUGGAUUUGUUAAGCAUUUGUUACAUAUAUUAAGAUAAAUAAGGUGUUAUCAUUAGUAGUAGUAUUAUUAUAAUAAUUAAAAUGUAUAAUUCUGUCAUAAGAUUUUUAAUUAUGUUGUUACAUUUUAUUUAUUAAAUAAAUUGUCAAUUAAGUUUUAUUAUUUAUUCUUAUUUUUGCUAUUUCUUACAGUUGUACAUUUUUAUAAAUAGAUUUUGAGUGACUAGAUAAAUGUAUACAUUGCAUUAAAAUUUUUAUAUUUAUGUAUGUGUGUUAAUAAAAGAAAAUUGAUUGUGUUUUGUAAAACUGCAUGUUUAAUAUUUUUGAUAUUUGUUAAAAAGUCAUUUAAUGUAAGGGAUGUAGUAUUAGAUUGUUUAUUUAGAUAAUAUUUUAAAUUAUUUAAUUGUUUUAGUGUUGUUGAAGUAAUAGGUGGUAUAAAAAGUGAUGCUACGAUUUUUUUUAAAGUUUCAAGGCUUAAAAUUACUUUUAUAUUUUGAUUACUAUUGAUGGAUAAAUGAUUUUUUUGUUUUAAAUUGGUAGUUAUUUUUAUAUUAAGAGUUAAUAAUAUAAGGGGUUUUAAUUAUAUGGAUUAUUUGUAAUGCUUUUUACUGGUAUAUUAAGUAAGUAAAGAAUGGAUUUUUUUGAGUAAUGACAGAUAAAUACAACAUAUUUAAACUUGAAACUUUAGUUAAAGUUACUUAAAGUUACUGUUUUAGGUUGGUUAAUUGGUAAAGAGAUAUAAUUAAAGUUAAAUAAAGUAAAUAGAGUAGAAGUAUAAUAUUUGAUGGAAUUUUAUAAUUUUAAAGUUAUUAAAUAGUAAGAUUUUUAUAUUUAUAAAGAAAUUUAAAGUUUAUAUUUUUUUGUGGGUGUAAAAGUUGGAAUUCCUGUGUAAUUUACAUUUGUGGAAUUUACAUUUGUAUUUACAUUGUGUAAUUUAUGUUUGUAUUUACAUUUUUUUUUUUAUUUGUGGAGUGGUGAGUGUGUUUUUUGUGUGAUAUUAUUUUAUAUUUCUUAUUGAAAUUGACUUGUGGUUUUGUACUUGUUGAGAUAUAAGUAAACUUUAUGUUUUGAUAU
Molecule: long non-coding RNA, 2497 nt
Filed under: Taeniopygia guttata (zebra finch)
Lineage: Eukaryota; Metazoa; Chordata; Aves; Passeriformes; Estrildidae
Description: lncRNA (ENSTGUG00000026227.1)
Source: RNAcentral